GGUCUAAGUACAAAUUUGAUAGGGCUGAUGCGACUCUUCUGCUUAUUGUGUAGCAUUGCCGUAGGCGCCGGAACAACUGCGAGGAUGAAGCCAACUUGUGCUUUCGUGAGCCCGGAUGGAAUCUUUCAGAAGGAAGGAGGUGGCGGUGAAACUGCGGCUGAGGCCGUAGCCCUCGGAAGCGGAAGAAGCAGCGGCGCCACCGCCUCCAUUCGAAGCGUGAAGCAGAAACCCCCUUUUCGAAUCGCCAAGGAUGAUUCCAAGCCGCUGCUCCGCGACCCCAUUCUGAGGUCGGACCCCAUCGAGACCGAGCAAGCGGUUCUCCGUCUUCCUCCUCUUCCUCGUAGAGACUCUUGAUCCACUUUAACGGGUGUUCAGAUCCAUAUAGAUCCAACUAAAUCUGCAUGUGGAGGACUCUCCCCCUUACUUUGUCUACCGGAUAAAUCCAAAAGCGUUUGAGGUAGUGAGCAGUCGACUUUCAUAGGCCAUCCAUCAUUAUAAGGUUGUGUGUGCCUGAACUGUGGAUCUCUCAUCCCUCAACACAUGUCUUUUCCUCCAAAUUAAGUGUCCAUGCAUGUCCCAGUUGAGGAUUGAUAUGUGGUGCUCUAGAAAUCUACUUAGAACUAAAUUUGACC
RNA transcript from Zingiber officinale, 632 nucleotides. RefSeq lists it as uncharacterized. The record is from RefSeq and is a predicted model, not a curated record. The transcript has 3 exons. NCBI's taxonomy places the organism in Eukaryota, Viridiplantae, Streptophyta, Magnoliopsida, Zingiberales, Zingiberaceae.